Molecule: long non-coding RNA, 2242 nt
Organism: Tupaia belangeri chinensis (Chinese tree shrew)
Lineage: Eukaryota; Metazoa; Chordata; Mammalia; Scandentia; Tupaiidae
Exons: 3
Source: RefSeq, a predicted model, not a curated record
UGACUUCCACUCGUACUUGAGAUGCGCCGGGACCGAGGAAACCGCGGGCUGCGGGAGACGCCGCGCUGCCUCCAGAGCUGGGCUCCAGGCGCCUUCCCGUUCUUCCGGCCAGGUGCCCUGCCCUAGCCCUUCCUGUCUCGCAUACGUCCUGUCCCGAAGCGCCUGGCCCCAGGAUGUAUCAUAGGAUUGACGUGUUGGCAUUCAGUCUAUAUAGGGUGGUGUUUUUUUCUCCUUUGCCUUAAAACUUUUUUCGAAAAAGUAAUACGCAUUCGUCGCAUGAUGAUUGGAAAAAAUAAAAAGGAACGUAAGAGCCAGCCAGAUCCAGGUCUUCCUCCCUGAGCUGCCAGGCUCAGCAGCCUCCAGGGAAGGCCAAAUGCCCCCACAGUGGUGCUGGCCAGAGAAACCACUGGGACCACCCAGGACUUGCUGCGGGACCUACAUCACACCCAGACCCCAGGUGUGCCAAGCUAGGAAGUGAAGGCUGUAGCUCCCCAGCUGCUGCAGUGUGAGCUGAUGCACAGAACAGCAGUUUCAAGAUUGUGAGCUACAGCCCUUUAGUGGCCUUGAAAUCAACUUACUGAAACAAAACCAAAAUCUUUUUAGAUGAAGUGAAAUAGACUAGAAAAUAUCAGAAUGAACAGUAUGCUCUAAGGGUCAUGAAAUGCCAAGCUAUUUUCGUGUUCUUCUCUAUAAUUGUUUGCAUCUUCCAAGUUACCUACCAUUGAAGAUCUAAAGAAAACACUAAUUUUCAGAAUAAAUUAACUAAGUCCCUCCUCCAACCACCUGUACAAGUGCAUAGUCAUUCUUCCCUGAAAUAUGGCAGGAAGGACCCACUGGCUGAUGACUUCAGGCUCUGGAAAGACUGACAAGGGUUCUUUGCCCUGAAGUUACCUGCAGGAAUCACAGACCUGUAAUUGGGACAGCCUGACAUUAUAGAGAAGAGUUCCAGACUAGCUUGGGAAGAAAGGUGAAAUGCAGGUCCACAGAACUUGAUUCUCAACACUGAUGGCCUCUUUGUACAGAUUGCAUCCUCAAGUCAAAGCCAAAAGAGCAUGCGGACCACACAUUAUAGGGUCGUGACCUCCUCAAAGGCCACAUUCCUGAAAACUUAGACCCUGUCCUAGAAAUGCUGUGAGAUACCAGGCCAGGGUGCCCAGGGCAAAGUCUUUGGAGGUCAACGGUGCAGAUGGAAUUCCUUCUGCCUCCUUCAGCCAACUUAGCCAUGAAGCUUGAGAGGCUAGUCUCCAUGUAUGUGGCAAGCACUCAAGUGACUGGGAAGCAUCUGUCUCAGAAUUAGAGCAGGAGGGAAACUUAGCUCACCUCCUCUUUUGACAGAUGGGUAAACUGAGCCCAAGUGAUCUUCAGUGGCUCUUGAGAAUGGCCCAGCUGGUGCUAGAAGCAGUAGGAAUCUCAGGGCUUAACUCUCCAGCUCCCCAGCCAUCAUUUUCUCCAAAACUCUAUGGCAUCUGCGUACACAUUCCUGACUUCCCCAUGCUUCACUCAGCCUCCCGCAUCAUGACCUGCACUAGCUGAAUAGUUUCCAGAACUGUCUCUCAGCAGCAAGUGAUUAAUGCAUACCUAUGGAAUGACCUGCAAACAUGACUUGUGGAAUGAAUGAGUGAGUCGUCUCCGUGUAGUCACCUGGAGCCCUUAUAUGGGUGCUAGAAGAUGGCAGAUGUUAUAGAAAGAUACUCGCAGGCCCUCGGACCACAGCUUCUUUGGAACAGCAGAGAUGGGCAGACCUCACCUGCUCACCUCUCCCCAUUGCUAUGCCCCUGCCCCUGCCCUACCUGUGCUUCUUGUAUGGCUUUAGUGACUUCUUUCCCAUGUUCAUUUAUUCAGCUUUAUCUACAUAUAAAUACUGGGAGGGACGAGAAGACAUAAUGUGACUGAUCUCUCGGCAACAAGGGCAAGCAGGGAGAUGCUGAGGUUCUGGGAAGAUCUCAUAUCUCUGAGGGUGCUGGGCCAAGACGAAGACCAUGCUUUGCCCUGGAAAAUUCCAGUGGCUUGGGAAGCUAAAGGAGGGACUCAUAGUUCAGUGCAGCGACUAGAGGAAUGCUGUGUAGCUCUCUAUAAGAAGGAUCCCUACUAAAUAAGCACCCUGGGUCAGACAGCGAUGCUUCUGCUUACAGCCCCAGGAGUUGUAAUUGCUGUUGUUGUUGUUUAGAACUUGAUAUUUCCCCAAGAAAAGUAUGGAAAUGGUGACUAUAGCAAAAUCAGAAAUAUGUUCAUCUUUCUUACA